GGUCAAGUGAAGAAGCGCAUACGGUGGAUGCCUUGGCAGUCAGAGGCGAUGAAAGACGUGGUAGCCUGCGAAAAGCUUCGGGGAGUCGGCAAACAGACUUUGAUCCGGAGAUGUCUGAAUGGGGGAACCCAGCCAUCAUAAGAUGGUUAUCUUACGCUGAAUACAUAGGCGUAAGAGGCGAACCAGGGGAACUGAAACAUCUAAGUACCCUGAGGAAAAGAAAUCAACCGAGAUUCCCUUAGUAGUGGCGAGCGAACGGGGACUAGCCCUUAAGUGGCUUUGAGAUUAGCGGAACGCUCUGGAAAGUGCGGCCAUAGUGGGUGAUAGCCCUGUACGCGAAAAUCUCUUAGUCAUGAAAUCGAGUAGGACGGAGCACGAGAAACUUUGUCUGAAUAUGGGGGGACCAUCCUCCAAGGCUAAAUACUACUGACUGACCGAUAGUGAACUAGUACCGUGAGGGAAAGGCGAAAAGAACCCCGGAGAGGGGAGUGAAAUAGAUCCUGAAACCGUAUGCGUACAAGCAGUGGGAGCCCACUUUGUUGGGUGACUGCGUACCUUUUGUAUAAUGGGUCAGCGACUUAUUUUCAGUGGCGAGCUUAACCGAAUAGGGGAGGCGUAGCGAAAGCGAGUCUUAAUAGGGCGUCUAGUCGCUGGGAAUAGACCCGAAACCGGGCGAUCUAUCCAUGGGCAGGUUGAAGGUUGGGUAACACUAACUGGAGGACCGAACCGACUACCGUUGAAAAGUUAGCGGAUGACCUGUGGAUCGGAGUGAAAGGCUAAUCAAGCUCGGAGAUAGCUGGUUCUCCUCGAAAGCUAUUUAGGUAGCGCCUCAUGUAUCACUGUAGGGGGUAGAGCACUGUUUCGGCUAGGGGGUCAUCCCGACUUACCAAACCGAUGCAAACUCCGAAUACCUACAAGUGCCGAGCAUGGGAGACACACGGCGGGUGCUAACGUCCGUCGUGAAAAGGGAAACAACCCAGACCGUCAGCUAAGGUCCCAAAGUUAUGGUUAAGUGGGAAACGAUGUGGGAAGGCUUAGACAGCUAGGAGGUUGGCUUAGAAGCAGCCACCCUUUAAAGAAAGCGUAAUAGCUCACUAGUCGAGUCGGCCUGCGCGGAAGAUGUAACGGGGCUCAAACCAUACACCGAAGCUACGGGUAUCACGUAAGUGAUGCGGUAGAGGAGCGUUCUGUAAGCCUGUGAAGGUGAGUUGAGAAGCUUGCUGGAGGUAUCAGAAGUGCGAAUGCUGACAUGAGUAACGACAAUGGGUGUGAAAAACACCCACGCCGAAAGACCAAGGUUUCCUGCGCAACGUUAAUCGACGCAGGGUUAGUCGGUCCCUAAGGCGAGGCUGAAAAGCGUAGUCGAUGGAAAACAGGUUAAUAUUCCUGUACUUCUGGUUAUUGCGAUGGAGGGACGGAGAAGGCUAGGCCAGCUUGGCGUUGGUUGUCCAAGUUUAAGGUGGUAGGCUG
This 1470-nucleotide ribosomal RNA is filed under the name Pseudomonas fluorescens. RNAcentral describes it as "partial 23S ribosomal RNA". It matches the Rfam family "Bacterial large subunit ribosomal RNA", at positions 1 to 1527 of the family's 2925-position model. Lineage: Bacteria; Pseudomonadati; Pseudomonadota; Gammaproteobacteria; Pseudomonadales; Pseudomonadaceae. The record is from RNAcentral.